Molecule: long non-coding RNA, 227 nt
Filed under: Elaeis guineensis (African oil palm)
Lineage: Eukaryota; Viridiplantae; Streptophyta; Magnoliopsida; Arecales; Arecaceae
Description: long non-coding RNA (EGUI_LNC064291)
Source: RNAcentral
GGUCUUGCCGAAGCAACCCCAACUCCAGUUUAGACUUCUUUUGCAGGUCCCGAUGGCGACCGCGACUCCCUCGACUCUAGCUUCUCCAAUGCAGGUGAAUUUUUGCACCAACAGGAUUGGCGCUAGAGGAAGGGGUCUGUGUCUUCGCAGUACCCUUGUUCUUAAAGGAGCGCUCAACGGGACCGCCUCCGACCAUCUUUUCCGACGUCCUCUCCUCCUUUCCCCGC